This 494-nucleotide ribosomal RNA is filed under the name uncultured bacterium. RNAcentral's name for it is "partial 16S ribosomal RNA". It matches the Rfam family "Bacterial small subunit ribosomal RNA", at positions 28 to 507 of the family's 1533-position model. The record is from RNAcentral.
GACGAACGCUGGCGGCGUGCUUAACACAUGCAAGUCGAACGGAAAGGCCUGCUUUCCCUUGUGGAUUGCGGGUACUCGAGUGGCGAACGGGUGAGUAACACGUGAGUGAUCUGCCCCCAACUUGGGUAUAAGCCUGGGAAACUGGGUCUAAUUCCCGAUAGGACUGCAGGGUGGUGCCUGUGGUGGAAAACGAUUUUCUAGUGGUUGGGGAUGAGCUCGCGGCCUAUCAGCUUGUUGGUGGGGUAAUGGCCUACCAAGGCGGCGACGGGUAGCCGGCCUGAGAGGGUGGACGGCCACAUUGGGACUGGGAUACGGCCCAGACUCCUACGGGAGGCAGCAGUGGGGAAUAUUGCACAAUGGGCGGAAGCCUGAUGCAGCGACGCCGCGUGGGGGAUGACGGCCUUCGGGUUGUAAACUCCUUUCGACCGCGAGGAAGCCACCUGGUUGGAAGGGUGGUGACGGUAGUGGUAGAGGAAGCACCGGCUAGCUACGUG